This is a long non-coding RNA of Puntigrus tetrazona (Sumatra barb), 5119 nucleotides long. RefSeq lists it as uncharacterized. The record is from RefSeq and is a predicted model, not a curated record. The transcript is spliced from 2 exons. Lineage: Eukaryota; Metazoa; Chordata; Actinopteri; Cypriniformes; Cyprinidae.
CUUCAUGCAACUAUUUGUCUUCAUCCCUUUACCAAAUGACAAUGCAUCCCUUUAUAAAAACGCUGGCGGAAAUGUGCAGCACGGAGGGGAACGUGAACUUGGUGGACUUCAUGCACAGCGAUUUCUCGUCCUUUUGGAGUGCACGAUGACCACUGAGCACGCGCGGUGCUUUGCAGAACCCAGUGUUGUGAGUCUUGCCUAUGAGAGACUUUUCCGUCAGCCUUUGGACUCCUACAGAGGGGAACGGCCAUGACUGCCAGUCAGCGGACGGCCAGUGGACGGGACGGACCCGUCGGCGCAGGUGUCACCUAAGAUCCUGCCGGACAUCAGAUAGAGAGCGGACACUGCAGCCUCUUCGACGAGCAGUAAGACAGGAAGUCCAUCAUCAAGCCAGGUGUCAAACUGUUUAAGACCCGCCCCAAUAAAUGCCUUAAAGACACAGUACACUACAUCUUUAUGUAGAGGAAACUGCAGCAGGAGACUUCUUAAAAAAGCUUGACAUGUUUUCAUUUUUCUCUUUACGAGUGAAUCAGUGUCUUGCAAGAACAGAUGUGAAUAUUUUCUUAUAAUAGAGAAAUAUUUGUUUGGGUGUAAUAUUGCCACUUGUUUUUUUGUUUUUUUUGGUUUUUGUGGUAGGCCUGGUGAAAGCUGUUAAAUAUAAGUGAAGGGAAAGUCUACUGUCUGUCUGUGGCAGCCUCUUCCAUCUAGUUUUAUCUCUUUUCAUUUCUUAAACCAAAAGACUGCCAGCUGGAAUGGAGAAAUUCAGCGGCAGUGCUCAAUGAUGUCAGUCUGGACGGGUCACACAUAUACAGUAUGAAUGCAGGGUCAAAUCACAUUCCCCUUAGCACCAGACUCAUUGCUUUUGCUCAAAGCUUCAACAAUCAAGAACAAUCUACUUUUAGAAUAGAAGAGUUGUGUCUCUCGUCAAAACACACACCUAUUUUAAGGGACGGUUCAGCCCAAAUAAAUAUGCAGAUCAUUUACUCGCCCUCAUCAUGUUAUUCCAAAUUCAUAUGACUUCCCUUUUUCUAAAAAUUAGAUUACUGCUUUUUGCCCAUACAGUGCAAGUCAGUAUGUUUGCAUGGACUCAAAUAAUACAUUUUUAAUGUGAAAUGAAAUUUCAGUUAGACUUCAAGAGAUAGUGUACACCUAAAAUAAAUGAACACAAAAAGCACAUAAACAUUUGAAAAAUACAUUUUAAGUCAUUGUUUACAUAUGGUGUACAUCUUGUAAUUGUGCAUAUGUUAAAGUGUCACGUCUUCCUGGUCAAUGGAGGAGACGAGGAGUUAAUUUGCAAAAACUAUUUUAUUUUAUUUAUUUUAUUUUAUUUAUUUAUAUUUAUAUUUAUAAUUACAACUAACACAAUAAAACUCGAUAGCAUAAUAAAAAAUCAUGAUUUUUGAACAUUUUUAGUUAUAUUCAUAUUUUUAGCUGUUUUGCAAAUAAGCUCUUUGUAUACUAUAUAUUUGCUAAAAAAGCUCUUCUGACAUAUGUCUACUUGUUUCAAUGUCUGAGCUGGAUAUCAAAAUUUAGAGUUCAUAUAAAUUCAUUUAGCAUCUCAAAUCUGACUGAAAUGAUUUCAUUUGCUUCACAGAAGAAAGUAAGUCAUUUAGGUUUGGAGCAACAUGAGGCUGACUAAAUGAUAAAACUUUCAUUUUUAUGUAAACAAUCCCUUGACAACCCAGAGGCGUAAAACAUCACUAAUAGCCUUUUGAAUAAUAGACCUGUUUGGUGGCCUUGAUGGUCUCUAAGGUGCAGAUAAACGAUGAAAGUUGAAAUGUGGGUGCCAUCAGGUUUGGUGGACAGCUGGUUAUUCAUUUGAGUUGGUGCAUUACUGGACUGAUGCCCAGCGCUCAGAUGGUGAGCCGAGUCUGCUUCUCUCUGCCUGCAUCCACUUUAAAUAUCAGAGUUUGGUAUAUAAAUAUUAACGAUCAGUUCAUCGCAACCAGAAUAACACUACUCUGCUGUUGUGAACUGGGAAUUCUGGUAUUGCGGUUCAAUUCUCCCCUUUUGCGAUACCCUCUAUAAAUAGUGCCCUCAAACAGAAGACUGCAAAUUACAGUGCCACACACCGACAGCAUGACAAUAAAGCCACAUAUAAACAGAUCUGCAAGUCAUAUUCCCAGUUAACUAACACUCUCUCUCUCUCUCUCUCUCUCUCUCUCUGUUGGGAGACACAGCAACAGAAAGAGACGACGAUACUCUCUCUGAAAUGACUGCCCCGCAAUCCUCCCUGUCUCUGUCUCUCUUUUCAUCUCCCACUCCUUUCUCGUUCUUUGUCUUCUGCUUUCCCUCCUUGCCUAUCUGACAUGCAACCAGGCAUGCAGACUUAUGCACACAGUUGUCUUCUCUUUCUCUGUCCCUCUCUUUCUUUCUGUCUGUCUGUCCUGUCGGAACUACUCCGAAUAGACGACGUGUCAGAAUUUUAGGAUAAACGUGUUCUGAUCUUAUAGCAUAUAAACACAAACAAUUUCUAGAAUGAACCAGCUGCUUCGUUGUCAUGGAAAUACAUUCAAGUAAUCUGUAUGCAAAGUUCUAUGGAAGUGUACUAUCUAUUUUUUUAAAUCUAGCCUUGAAUAUUAUAUAACCAAAGUCGAACCCUGAAAAUCUAUCUAUGUUCUAUGUUUGGACCUCUUUUUAUUUCUUGAAGAGAUUUAGACCUAGUAAAAAUAGAUGCACAUGAAACACAACGUAUGUACAUAAGCAGAUGUCUAUUUUAUUGUGUCCUCAAGGUCACACGUCAUUUUAGGCAGAUCUACUUUUUGACUGUUAGCCUUCUCGAGUCCCGGGCCCUGUUUUUUCUCUCCUUCUUCUUAAUUCCCAAUGGUUUUGUGCACCUCAUGGAAGCCGUUCCUGCCGGUUGCAGACUCUCUCUCCUCAGCUCUCUCUUUUUUUAGCGUGUGUGUUAGUUAGUUGACUGGACUCUCUAGCAGAGGACCACUUGCUGAGUGCUUUUCAUAAACUGAAGCCGAGAUCAUCAGGUGGAUCAGCGCCAUGAAGCAACUAAACAUGGAGCAUUGCGUCGCGUCACAUGUUGUAGAUCUGCAUGUGACUUUGAUAUGUAAAUAUGUGUUAGUGCUAUUAUGAUGUCACCACGACAUGUCGCUCUGUGCUCGAUGCAGUGGAUCGGAAUGGUUUACAUUGGAGAACAAAAGAAUUCCUUAACAUCCACGAUGCGAUGCGCAUGGCUCUUUCAUUACACACUGAGUCAACAGCCAAGAAUUACCAGCCAACCGUGAGGAGACUUUGUUACCAUGGAGAUGCUCUGCCAGUGCUGACUGGUCAGCUGGCUUUGGAGGAAAAGGAAGCUUUGCCCUGUGAAAAAAAACCAGGAGAAUUACCUGCUAAACGAGAUAGACCAUAUCAGCACAUCCUCUCAUUGAUUCGAUCGAUUAUUUUGUUCAUAUUCAACUUGCUGCGAUUAAACAGUGACUGAUUUACACAGGAAUAUGCAAUGCUACGAAGAGAAAUCUAUUAGAUGCACAGAUACACAGUAUUACCAUUCUGAAUUCUGUUUGACUGUUAGGGGUGCACUGAGAUAAAGUCAUACCAAUAAUUGUUUUUUAUAUGUCAAGGCUUAUAGAAAAUAAAUGGCUCAUAUUAAAAUUCACUGCUUUUUUCUCUUUAUACAUUUUAAAACUAAAAACUAAAAUGUUUUUUAGGUGGUGCGAGUGAAUUUAGGCCUCACAAAAUGGUAACGUAGAGAAUAUUCAUUUUAAGAUUUGCUAAAAGUGACGUUUAGCAGUGAUAUUGAAUUAGUGUUUUUCAAAACUUCAAGCGAGAGUUAGAUGGUGGAAACAAGCAUGCACAAAUAUAGGUUCAAUAUCACCCAAUGUCUCGCAGAGUUUAGCUCAAGCUUGUCCCGGCAAACCUAGCUGGGAGAUUCUAGCAAUCCUAAAAGUCUUGAUUACUUUGUUUCAGGUGUGAUUAACUGGGGUUGGAACUAAGCUCUGCAGGACAGUGGCCUUCUAGGAGCGGGAUUCGAACACCCUGAUCCAAUUUAUAAAUUAAAAGGCUACUAAUAUUGACCAAUAUGUUGUGCAUCACUAUUUGAUUGCAAAACAGCCAGAAUCCCUGCUACUGUGUGAGAGAUACUGAGACAAAAUGAGGAGGAUUCCUUAGAAAUGCAACUUAAAAUAUAGCAAUCAUAGAACAUCUGAAACUUUAGUACACCAAUGUGAUAUUUGAUGUACCGUAUGAAUAAUAAUAAUAAUAUAUAUAUAUAUAAAAAUCUUGUGGCUUUCAUUUCAGCAUGGAAUAUAUUGUACUCUGUGUACAAGUGACUGUCUGCUCAUUGUUAAUGGAUUUCAGUGAGCUUACAUAAGUUCUUGAGAAUCAUUAGGCAUUUUUUUCACUUUUGUAAUGGACAGAGUUACCUGUGUAACGCUUGGCUGCUCACCCUCGUCUCCACACAGUAACAAAACCGCAGGAGAACAUUGCUGACUGGAAGAGAUCUCUCAAUAACCAGAUCCCCUUACUUCUAGUGUCCGUCCUACAGCAGUGAAUGCAGCUACAGGUCACUUACACAAAAUCAGGCAAUCGCACGUCAGAAAUAUGAAUCUAAUAUCAGAUCAUUUUGGUAAUCACAGGUGUGUAUUUCCGCUUCGAUGAGAGGUGUGUUGGUGUGUGUUGGGUCAGCUUUUGUGCCUCCUAACAAGCAUGCAGAGGGAGAUGCGCUCGGUGAGUCUGUGUUCUUUUGAUGAACAAUCCUGACGGCAGGAAAGUGUAUAGAAUCACCCCCCCCCCUCAAAGAAGUAAAUAAAUAAGCAGAUGUUCCUCUAUUCAUGUGAGUUUUGGAUGGGCUUGCCCUUUCUUUCUGCAUGAUGCUUUGGUUUUGAAAACUUGCAUCCUGAUUGACGAUGUAUUUGUGUUAUUUAUUUAUUUGUUUUUUUGUUUGUUUGUUUGUUUUUUUUGUAUAUUGGAGACCCUGUAUCAUUUCUUUCUUUCUUUCUGUUUCUUUUUUCGGGGGUUAUUUCAUCAAUCUUCUGGAUUUUUCUACAUGCAUAUCAUUUUGUAGGCAGCAAUAUGAGAUGUGAUGGAAAUGAAAUUAUGUGCAAUGUUGAAAAUUAAAAACAAAACAAACAUAAUAUAUUAAAUAAAAACAAAGAAGGCCAUUUUU